AGAGUUUGAUCCUGGCUCAGGAUGAACGCUAGCGGCAGGCUUAAUACAUGCAAGUCGAGGGGCAGCACGGGUAGCAAUACCUGGUGGCGACCGGCGCACGGGUGCGUAACGCGUAUGUAAUCUACCAUUAACCGGGGAAUAGCCCAGAGAAAUCUGGAUUAAUGCCCCAUAGUAUUAUCGAAAGGCAUCUUUUGAUAAUUAAAGCUCAGGCGGUUUUUGAUGAACAUGCGUGUCAUUAGUUUGUUGGUGAGGUAACGGCUCACCAAGACUACGAUGACUAGGGGGUCUGAGAGGAUGAUCCCCCACACUGGUACUGAGACACGGACCAGACUCCUACGGGAGGCAGCAGUAAGGAAUAUUGGGCAAUGGAGGCAACUCUGACCCAGCCAUGCCGCGUGAAGGAUGAAGGUUCUACGCGUUGUAAACUUCUUUUGUACGGGAAGAAACCUCUCUACGUGUAGGGUAAUGACGGUAAGGUAUGAAUAAGCAUCGGCUAACUCCGUGCCAGCAGCCGCGGUAAUACGGAGGGUGCAAGCGUUAUCCGGAUUCAUUGGGUUUAAAGGGUCCGUAGGCGGAUUAAUAAGUCAGAGGUGAAAUCCCACAGCUUAACUGUGGAACUGCCAUUGAUACUGUUGUUCUUGAGUACAAAUGAAGUGGGUGGAAUGUGUGGUGUAGCGGUGAAAUGCUUAGAUAUCACACAGAAUAUCAAUUGCGAAGGCAGCUUACUAAGCCAUUACUGACGCUGAGGCACGAAAGCGUGGGGAUCGAACAGGAUUAGAUACCCUGGUAGUCCACGCCGUAAACGAUGAUCACUCGCUGUUUGCGAUAUACAGCAAGCGGCUGAGCGAAAGCAUUAAGUGAUCCACCUGGGGAGUACGAUCGCAAGGUUGAAACUCAAAGGAAUUGACGGGGGCCCGCACAAGCGGAGGAACAUGUGGUUUAAUUCGAUGAUACGCGAGGAACCUUACCUGGGCUUAAAUGUAGGCUGCAUUCGGCUGAAAGGCUGAUUCCCUUCGGGGCUGCUUACAAGGUGCUGCAUGGUUGUCGUCAGCUCGUGCCGUGAGGUGUCGGGUUAAGUCCCAUAACGAGCGCAACCCUUAUCGUUAGUUGCCAGCGGGUCAAGCCGGGGACUCUAGCGAGACUGCCGGUGAUAAACCGGAGGAAGGUGGGGAUGACGUCAAAUCAUCAUGCCCCUUAUGUUCUGGGCUACACACGUGCUACAAUGGCCGGUACAGACGGAAGCGAAGCCGCGAGGUGAAGCAAACCGAGAAAGCCGGUCUCAGUUCGGAUUGCAGGCUGCAACUCGCCUGCAUGAAGUCGGAAUCGCUAGUAAUCGCAGGUCAGCAUACUGCGGUGAAUACGUUCCCGGGCCUUGUACACACCGCCCGUCACACCACGAAAGUCUGCAACACCCGAAGCCGGUGAGGUAACCCGUAAGGGAGAGAGCCGUCGAAGGUGGGGUUGGUAAUUGGGGUGAAGUCGUAACAAGGUAACC
This 1495-nucleotide ribosomal RNA is filed under the name uncultured bacterium. RNAcentral's name for it is "partial 16S ribosomal RNA". It matches the Rfam family "Bacterial small subunit ribosomal RNA". The record is from RNAcentral.